This 329-nucleotide ribosomal RNA is filed under the name uncultured eukaryote. Its description in RNAcentral is "partial 18S ribosomal RNA". It matches the Rfam family "Eukaryotic small subunit ribosomal RNA", at positions 1470 to 1796 of the family's 1831-position model. The record is from RNAcentral.
CCCUUAGAUGUCCUGGGCCGCACGCGCGUUACACUGAGUGUCUGAGAUACGAGUCUGCCUGGUCCGGCAAGGUCUAGGUAAUCGCUAAAAGACACAUCAUGCUUGGGAUAGAUUAUUGCAAAUAUUAAUCUUGAACGAGGAAUUCCUAGUAAGCGCAAGUCAACAGCUUGCGUUGAUUACGUCCCUGCCCUUUGUACACACCGCCCGUCGCUACUACUGAUUGGAUGUUUAAGCGAGGUUCUCGAACUGCUAGCGACUUAGCUUCGGUGAGGUCGCAGUGUGGGGAGUGAACCUAGCUUUGGUGUCUAGAGGAAGUAAAAGUCGUAACA